GAGUUUGAUCCUGGCUCAGAGUGAACGCUGGCGGCAGGCCUAACACAUGCAAGUCGAGCGGCAGCGCGUCCGACCACCCUCGGGUGGUCGGAUGGCGGCGAGCGGCGGACGGGUGAGGAAUGCAUCGGAAUCUGCCUCGUUGUGGGGGAUAACGUAGGGAAACUUACGCUAAUACCGCAUACGACCUACGGGUGAAAGUGGGGGACCUUCGGGCCUCACGCGAUGAGAUGAGCCGAUGCCGGAUUAGCUAGUUGGCGGGGUAAAGGCCCACCAAGGCGACGAUCCGUAGCUGGUCUGAGAGGAUGAUCAGCCACACUGGAACUGAGACACGGUCCAGACUCCUACGGGAGGCAGCAGUGGGGAAUAUUGGACAAUGGGGGCAACCCUGAUCCAGCCAUGCCGCGUGUGUGAAGAAGGCCUUCGGGUUGUAAAGCACUUUUGUUGGGGAAGAAUUUCGCCGGGUUAAUACCCUGGUUGAAUGACGGUACCCAAAGAAUAAGCACCGGCUAACUUCGUGCCAGCAGCCGCGGUAAUCCC
This 537-nucleotide ribosomal RNA is filed under the name uncultured bacterium. RNAcentral's name for it is "bacterial SSU rRNA". It matches the Rfam family "Bacterial small subunit ribosomal RNA", at positions 9 to 527 of the family's 1533-position model. The record is from RNAcentral.